CCUCUGGCGUGCCUUGUGCCUUGUUCAGUCCUGGGACAGGAUAAGUGGGGCGAGCCGUGGCCAGAUACUAGGCUUAGUCUGUUGCAUGUCCACCCCUCCCCGCCUCUCCUGGAACAUGCUCUGUCCUGCACGGAGCCUGCCUCUCCAGUGUCACUAGGACCUGCACAGCACCCUAGUACCAGGGUGCACUGGCACAGCCCCUAUCUGAACGUCAGUGGGACCUGGCUUCUGGCUGCUGCAGGGGACACCUGGCCCCAGCCAGACUCUAGUGCCCAUAACUGUCUUCCUGGGGUCCUGAGACCCCCACCCCAAGCUUCAGCCACCACCAGCCUCUAGCUACCACCCUUUCCCUUUCACACCCCCCCCCCUGCCAUCCCUGCGGCUGCUGCUUCCAUGUCAUUUGCCUUUGAAGUGCUGAGAGAGCCUAACCACAGUUGGCAGUGUCCUCUGUGGGAAUGCAGAGUGGCCCCACCCGUGAGUCACCAAUGUGAGUCCAUUGACACCUGCUGACUGGCUACUCUUGCCCACCAACCCUGCCAGACCACCCAGGCUGUGUGGAUCUUGACAGUGUGCACUGUGCAACCUGCCGCUGCUCAUAGCAGCUUCUGGAAGCCAACUCAUGAACCAGCCAGUGCAGAGCCAGAGGGAGUCUGCUCAGGGUUUCAAGGAACAGGGAUGUGUGCCUCCACACCCCUUGCAGCCAUCAGCAGAUGUCAGAAGAGGGUGCCGGAUAUCUCAGGACUGGAGUUAUAGAUGGUUGUGAAUCUCCAUGUGGGUGCCGGAAACUGAACCCAGAGCCUCUGCAAGAGCAGCCAGUGCUCUUAGCCUCUGGUCCCCUCUCCGGCCCUUUCAUC
This 854-nucleotide long non-coding RNA is filed under the name Cricetulus griseus (Chinese hamster). Its description in RNAcentral is "lncRNA (ENSCGRG00015037720.1)". The record is from RNAcentral. Lineage: Eukaryota; Metazoa; Chordata; Mammalia; Rodentia; Cricetidae.